UACGUAGGGGGCGAGCGUUGUCCGGAGUUACUGGGCGUAAAGGGCACGCAGGCGGUGCGGCGCGUUUCGCGUGACAGCGGAGGGCUUAACUCUCCGAGGAUGCGAAAGACGGCGGCACUUGAGGGCCAGAGAGGGACACGGAAUUCCAGGUGGAGUGGUGAAAUGCGUAGAGAUCCGGAGGAACACCGAAGGCGAAGGCGGGUCUCUGGACAGUUCCUGACGCUGAGGCACGAAGGCCAGGGGAGCAAACGGG
This 253-nucleotide ribosomal RNA is filed under the name uncultured bacterium. RNAcentral's name for it is "partial 16S ribosomal RNA". It matches the Rfam family "Bacterial small subunit ribosomal RNA", at positions 524 to 776 of the family's 1533-position model. The record is from RNAcentral.